This is a long non-coding RNA of Gallus gallus (chicken), 29416 nucleotides long. RefSeq lists it as uncharacterized. The transcript has 11 exons. The record is from RefSeq and is a predicted model, not a curated record. Lineage: Eukaryota; Metazoa; Chordata; Aves; Galliformes; Phasianidae.
AAAGUAAACAAGCUCCAGACCCUCAUAGGUACUUUGAUGCCUGACUCUAGAUGGUCUCAAGGUCAUACAGACUCUCUGCAUAUUUCUAAGGCUUGAGGCUAAUGUGAUUUUUGUGCCUGGACACAAACUGUGUUGCAGGCAGAGAUGGGAUCUAUGUGUACCAGGCUGGUGGCUUAGCUGCUGGACCAGUCUGCCUUUCCUAAUCUUUUGUUCAGAUCUCUGCUUUCAACCUGUCUGUUCUGAACGAUGAAAACCACUGUGGUUUUAUGCUGAAGCACUGCCUCGAAGCUUGAAAAGGCUGCUUGGGUAUGGGAGGUCUGCUCUGUUGAACUUCUCCCUUGUGGGAACAUAAAGCCCGAGUUACAGCGUGAGGAAACCAAUAUAGCUGGGAGCCCAGGGAUGAAAGCUUUAAACCUGGAGGGUGCCUGGUACUUCCUGAGAACCUCACAGGGAAAACGUUCAGUCCCCAAACAGCCUCGCUGACAGAUAUGUUUUUAUAGCCUAUUAUUUUCUCUCUUCGUUCUUUGUUUCAUUUGAAUAUAAUAGGCUCUUUAUUUUUAACUGCUCGUCUGUUCCUGCUGUUUAUAUCCUCACCCCAAAAUCAUAAUUCUCUGGUUAUUUUCUUUUUUCCUUUUUUGACAUCACGGUUGGUUACUGUCUAACUGUACUACAAUGCCUGUAUAGAAGGGACAUGGUUUAUUUUCUUACAUUUUCCAUUUUCCUCUCUGUCUUUUCAAUAGAAUCCCAUAUUUCAAUUUGAACCAGAGGGUUGUUGCCUUAUUUAUAGGUCUUGAAUUUUGGCAGUGAUGUAAGUGUCUUAUGUGGUUGUAUGACUUCACGAGAGAAAAAGCUGGAGCUGCAGAUGAAUACGUAAAAAUGUUAUUUUCCUGUUCAUUUCUCUAAUGUGUGAGAUGGAGAAAAGACUUGAGGCCCAUGAUAGUGAAGUUCCUUUAUUUCAAUAUCAUCUGUUUAUUCAUUUAGAUAGAAUGGAUGCAGAAGUUUCUAGCAUGUUAGUCUUUAAUUUGGACAAAUAUGCAACGUAGGGUACUUGUUUUCAUCUUACACUGGCAUUCAUCUUAUAAAACUCACUUCAGGGUACUAUUUGUGAGAGGCAGCCACCCCCCUCCCCCCCCCCCCCCCCCCCCCCCCUUGCUGCCCCUGCACAACCCCAUGUCCUCCAGCCCUUGGGGGUGAAACAGUGGUGCUUGCCCAACUGCCCUGCAUGUACAAGCGGCUCUGCACACUGCCAGGUCAGCAUGACACGAAUGCACCACCUCUGAUACUUUGCAGCAGACCUUGUUAUGAGUUCCUGCCCACUGGCAGCAUAGCAGGCUGGAGAGCCAGAGCCAGGCUUCGCUCUCCAUGCUGCCUCUGCCUCCGAGUGACUUUUGGGCAAGUCUGUAAACCCGGUGCUUGCUUUACCCUUCUUUAAGUUAGCAUCUGCAGUGCCUGCCUCCAAGAGUGUCUGAGAAUAGAACUGGUGGGAAAAAUGAUUUUUGUCCCAGAAAACCCGUUAUACAUAUCUGCCUAUAAUUAUUUAGCAUAGAACAUUACUUAUUUACUGACAUGUACAGCGUUAAUUUAGCCUCCAAUUUAAUCAUAAUGAAAACCCAAAUAAUUAAAAUCUUCAUUAGAGUGUUUCCUCAUCUCCAGGUCUGUCAAGGAUCAGUCAUAAUGCAUCUUACUGAGAUAGUUAACUGCUUCAGUUGGGGUUUCGCUAUUCUGUGGAAAAAGUAUACUAUUUUACUGAAAUGGGAUUUGCUGCUCAAAGCUGUUUCAGGAAUACCUUUCUGCUGCAUAACUUAAUGAAGUACGUGGAAAUGAUUUUAAGCUGCUUGCAAAAGAACAGCCGAGGAUCUAUGACCUAAUAAUUAUUAAUUAUAAUGCAAUUAAUAAUUAUUAUUAUGAUUACUUAACUCUUUUAAGUACAUAUGUUCUUUUUAUGUGCUUUCUUUCUUGCACAUUGAUCACCUUAAUUAUGGUAUGUCUGUUUGCGUGUACUUAGCACCUAUUAAAAUGAAACCUGAAGUGCAUUCUCAAACAAAUUAGGAACUGCUUUGUAUGUUUUGAGGCCAUCUCAGUGGGAAUGGACUAGUUUUUCAUCUCCCUUUGCUGACAUAGUUUGGACUUUGCAUUAUAUCAUUUUCCCAGACCUUUGACAGAAAAUGCUCCCUCUGUUCUCAGUAUUUUGACCAUUACUGGUAAUUGUCUAAUGAUUAACUCUUAGGGCAAUGAGGAAGCAAGCAUAUGCCAUCAUCCUGAAAUGCUGAAUUCUCCCAGCUCCUGAAAGAGAUAAACCUUUAGAAGUUUGUAGGACAAUGCAUUUUGUAGCUGGAUCAUGUAAUUUCAUUUUCAUGCUUCAGUCACUUUUCACAGCUACCUGGGCAACUAGAGAAUUCAAAAAUCCCCAUUGUGUAGACGUCUGCUUGCAAGUCCCCACAGGAAACAUCUGCAGUACUGAAUUAAUUACAGAUAAUAUUUUAUGAUCUAAAUAAUAACUUGAAAGAAUAUAAAAUCACCUAUGGAAUGGGACUCAAAAAUCCAUUGAGAUGAAGCCUAAAUUUGAACUGCGCUUUGCUGAAGCCCUAUUUUGCACACAAGAUACUGUCUACACAAGAAAGAUGAGUCUAGUUUUGUGCUAUUUUUCUCUUCCCCAGCAGUAAUGGGGUCACUUGAGGCAGUUGCUGCCAGUGCUUACCCAGAUGAGCAGUGCAGCUAUUGUGUCCCUUCCUACAUCAGCGUGUUUGGCAGUGUCCCUGUAGAAAUGGACCAAAUCUGACGAGCUGUGCAGCCUGGACCUGCUGGUAGAAUUGAAACUCUGAUGUGUUGUGCAGUUCUUUCUCUCCCUCAGAUAAGGCAGGAGCUUUCCUACCUCUGUCUACACUGCUAUCUCCUGGGCAGUUUUUCCAUUCUGCUUCAGCUGCUUUCCUCAGCACAGCCUACUAUGGGUAGGUCGCAAAACUUUCCCUUUUGCUCUUAGAUUGAGAUCUGCGUUACUGGGGAAAGACAGCUGAGGCUUUGGGAUUCAGGAGACCUGAGUAGGUGUUGUUUUUUCUUGUCUGAGUUCUUCAUUCUUCCUCACUGAACUGAGCUAUAAAGAGAAGUGAUAACAUUUGGCUGCCUUGCUGGUUCAUGUGUUGGUGUUUAUAGCAGGUUUUGAGAGUGUCCUUAGAAAGUAAAGUGCUAUUGGUGGUGGUAAUGUAAUACUAUAGUUGUGUCUGAAUUUUGCAUCAUUUAAACACAAGUCUUUAAGUUUUCUAUACCUCAGAAAUUGAAUCACUGCUAAUAUCAUAACUAGAACUUGUCGUACACCAGUUACAUACCUAUUAUUUGUGCCUUAGGCUAAAGGACAACAAAAGAAAACCAGUGGAUAAAGGUUCCGAAUCAGAACUGAUGUUGCCCAGCUUAAUGUUCACAUUAACACAAAAACAACAACAGAACUGCAGAGCUAACAACUCCACUGAAAGAUGGAGUCGCCUGAGGAAGACAGCAGUGGCAACAGUGAGGAAAAGAAAUCUGGGACAUCCGUGCUUUGGGCAUCCAGUAAGGAUGAGGAAGCAGCACAGGUACCUCAUACUCAGAUAUAUCCAUCACAACUUCCAGUUUGGUCCCAAGGAAGAUCUUCUAGAUUUCUAGAUGAUUGAAAAUUGAUAUUAAACAUGCUGCUAAUCAUGCAUCUGAUCCACAGAAAGCAUCACGUACAAUAGAGGAAAUAUUCAAACUUCCUUGUUCUUUUUGCUCUGUUCGGACUUUAAGCAUCCAUUACUGUUAUAUCUCAGAAGAAAUGCUUCCCUUCAGGACUUCCUCCUUAUUUAUUAGACUGUCUUGAGGGAGAAAAAUGUGAAUGAGGUUGGAAUUGUUGGGAGUUCUCUUGCUGCUAUGGGAGAGGUGUGGUGAUGCCGUGAUUCUUGAAACAUCACGUCUGCUACUUCCAGUGGCCGAGGCCGCAUUCCAAACGUGCAGAGGUACAGAUCCCUUUUCUGAGGUACGCAGCUCUGAAAUUAAGUUUAUCUCUCUGCCUUUCCUUUACUGGCAUUUUUACUCAAUUUUAGGCAUUAGUUGCCUUCAUGCAUCUUUUUGUCAUUACAGUUACUAAAAAACGCAACUGGUUUGGGUUAUCCACCUAAAUACCUUAACAGACAUCCUGUGAUACUUGCCCUUCUCCUUCUUCUGUGAAGCCAGGCUAUGAUUAAUGAGAAGUUGCAAGAGGUUUUUUAAAAUGUGCUAAUAUUUUCUUCAGAGAACUCUUCUCCUUCUCAGUACACGCAACCUGUACAACUUCCUCAUUCUUUUGUUUCUUUAGAUAUUCUUUAAAAUAGAAAAUAACUUUUCUCCUGUCUUGGACUUUGAAUUCUUUGGAACAAAAUCAAGAUAGUUUGUCUGCAUUUAGCUGGUUGUGCCAUGGAUGAUUAAAAAAGAUUUGAUUUUUUUUGUCUAGUUUUUUAGAUCAGCAGCUUCAUUUUGAUUUCCAGUCUACAGCAGUAUCACACAAUUGUAAGGUCGCAGCCCAGUCUGACCCUAUCAUAAGAGAAACUGUAAUUACAUUGGGUUUAGUGGUGUUUUAUAAAUCAUAGUGAUUCGUAUAAAAUAAACCUGAAAUUAGGGUCUAUGAGUGCAGCUAUUAACUCUCCUGAGUUCUGCAGAAACAGAGAAGACAGAAAAUCACAACGUAAUGAUUCAGUCACUGAUUCCAAAGCCAUGACCGAACAUGAUCACACACAUACAUGCCUAUAUAUAUGGCACAUAUAGGCGCAUUUGUGCUAUUCUGUACGUGUUCUAUGUCCUGUAUUAAUAUGCAUGCUGUAUAUUGCACAUCUAUAUACAUACCUAUUUAACAUACAAUAGAAAUUAGACACAAAAAUGCUUUGCAUUGUUAAGGGGCUACGCAGGGCAAAAAGUGGUAUUAGUGGCUAAUAAAGGCUAAUUCUUUUGCAAGCAAAAUUAGCUCGCUUCACUAGCUUGUUAUGACUUGAAGUGUCUGGCCAUUGAACUAUGCAUAUGGCUCAUUUGUUGAUCUCAAAGAGAUCGCACCCUGACUGACAGCUGUAGUGGACUGGAAGAAAAUAGCCCAAAUGAGUAAGAACAGGAGGACUUCAGUUUGUGUGACUUUGGGACAGUAGCAAUCCAUGCAAACAGCCUUAAUAAGCAGAAGAGAAGAACCUGACAAAGAAUGUGUGUGAUGUGGAUCCUGGCUCAGGGCAGUAAUUUUUCUUAAAUGACUGGUUCCUAACGCUCAGCUUUGUUGCCCACAGAUGCUGCCUCCCAGUAUACACAACUACUAAAGAGAACAAAUGUCCAGUAGCAGAUUACAACAAUCCUAAAUAAUCUCAAGGGGACUGAUUUUGAGCAAGUCCCAGAAGUUCUUGUGGUACUCUGUAGUGAUUCAAGCUUCACCAGAGUAGCCUAAACUCUGUGGCUGUGUAUUUAUUUUUAACUUGUGUUGUUUUGGGGUAAACACCACAUCAGAGUGCUUUUAUUAUCAAGUUCCUGUUCCUACACAAUGCAUCUGUAUGGAUUCUAGACCCCUUCAUCAAAAAGGAUCAUUUCCUUUUUUUUCUUAAUCUCAGACUGGUUUAUCCAGAGCUGUUGUCUCUGACUUCCUGUAACCUGCCCUGCAUCAAAGAUCUUUUAGAGUCUUCUCUGCAUCCUUUCUUUCCUUAGCACAUACUUGGAAAUGUCUGUGUAUACACAAACUCAUUUGCGUGUCCGUGCAUAUUUUAAUCCAUUUCUGCUUAAAGUCCUGCAGCAUUCUGCCUGGUCAGAUCAACCAAGGGCUCACGGGAAAGGUUAGUGCUAGGGAGCAGCAAAGCCCGUGUUCCUUGUGUACUCUGAGUGCUUCAGAAAGGUUUUAAUGCCUUCUUUAUUUGUGCAAAAAUUGUUCAAACUUCCCAGCUCUGAUAAUACCACACAGACAAAUGUUCAUUAUGAUCAGGACUGAUUACUUUUUCACCAUGGUAUUGUUUUUGCAGGUGAUUUGAGACUUGGUGUUAAUACAGGUCAUUGAGAGGGAAAGGUUGGUGAUGCUGCCUUUUGUGCUGUUAAACCCUCAGAUGUUGUUCCUAGAUUACAAGUUUAUAGAGACCAUAUGGAAAUAUUGGUUUAUCUUCUUAAGUAAAUUCUAGGUCUCAAACUUCUCUUCAUUAUCAAACAUUACUUGAAGUAAAAGGAGACUUUGGAGUAAUGAAUGAGUUUGGCUUCUGCAGUGUACCUAGGACACUUCUUUAUUUGGACCACAGACUCUUGUGAAGUGCUGCCACUGACAUUCUGGCAGAGGCUGGAACAAGAAAAGGAACUCAUCAGCCCCCACUGAGAAUUAUAGAAGAGAGAUCUUGUGGCAACCCAUUUGGUAGAAACAAGAACUGGAGCUAAUGGAUCCUGAAGAAAACAAGACAAGCAGUAAAGCAUUUGCUGAGAUAAGUUUCUAUCCAGCUUACAAUAGAAGUUGGUGCUGCAAAACCCCACUUGUUUACAGUUACAGUGGCAGAAGUACAUCAACGCUGUGACCAUGCUGAGGCUGCAGAUGGCAAUCACAUCUGCUUUGCUAUCAAGUAUGGAAGAUUAGUUACUGGUUAACCGAAAAAGCUAGUAGAGAACUUUUGACUAGUAGCUACAUUUUGACCUAUCUAAGAAGUCAGAAUAGUCUGUUUCUUGAUGGAUCAGGAGUCAAAGAAAUAGUAAAAUAACGUAGGUUGCUGCCUGUUCCUGUUGCUGUUCCUGUUAACUUUUACUCUUUAUCCUUUCCCUCGAUUCAUGUCUUAAUUUUGAGUCCAGUGUGGAGUGUUGUAGAUUUCAAUCCCUUUAAUCUUUUUCUUGUUACGGACUAUACUGAAGCCAGUGUUAUGUUGAUGGUCUAUGGGCUGGUCUGGCCUGGUUCCGUGACUAGUGGGGUGGAGGGAUUUUUUGCAAAAUCCGCGCCUCCGGAAAAGGGAAACGGGAGCCCUCACAUGAAAGAAUAAUUAAAGAAAAACAGCGGCAAUGAUCUGAGGAGAAACAAACUAAUUGACUAAAUAGAGUAUCGGAAUGCAUGAUAACACACUAUAAUACAAUAUAAAUCAAUAUAAUUGUUAAUAAAAUCAAAUAUAAUUGAGAGAAGGAUUGUCCAAGAGUUAAAGGCCUUACACUAAUACUGAAGCCUUGCGUACAGCAGCAAGACAAUCUGAAAGCGAGCACAACGAGACAAGAAGAUGGCAGAGGACCCAGGUCAGGUGACCUACAGGCCUUAUAUCUGUUCCCCUGAGCAGGAAUGAUAACAGUACUCGAACAGUCUUCUGGGGAGCGUAUUUCUUCUUCUGUUCCGGACAAGUACCUGGAAGUAGAGCAUUUGCUCUUUAACUCCCAGUACACUGCAUGAUGUUAUGAUGUGGAAUACCGAUAACCAAAAAUCAUAAAACCAUGACAUGUUACUACCUUUCCCUCUCCUUUUCCUGCUUGAAGAAAUUCAGCUCUAUACAAAUCUUCUUGAUUUAGUUUUGUUAUUACAGCUAUAUUUCACUCUUUUCGGUUCUUCCUCAGUACCUCCUUAUCAAAGGCCAUGUUCAGACCUUUCUUUCUUGUACAGUAUCCCUGCUUUGUCCUGCUGUAAAUCUACAUCUGAACUGUUUGUCACCAGCUUUUCUGUCUUUGGUAUGGGAAGCUGUUUUGGUAUAAUGAAAGCAAACAACCCCCAGACAACAAACCACUGUGCUACGGAAACAGCCAGCAGUGGUGUAGUUGCCUCAGAGCUGAGCUGAUAAAGCCAACAGUGCUGAAGCAUUCCUAGUUUUGUGCUUUGGACUCCUCUGAGCUGAUUUCCUGAUUUGUCCUAUCAGCAUUCGUUUGCUUUGUGCUUUGAGAGCAACUGCUCUGCUGGUGAGAGUUACAGCAACUAGAUCUCCAUUUUUCCCUAGCAUAGUCAAAGCAACAGUGAUGCCUGCCUUUCCCUGCAUUUCCUUGGCAAGCUUCCCAGAAAGAUGUGUACUUAAUUAUAAUUUGCUCUCUGUGGUCAGCAGCAAUAUCCCAGAUUUUAGUAUUUCAGCAGUAUCUCUAUAACUCUGUUUUUAAGUCUUCACCUGUUCUCCUACAGAACAAGGUUACAAUUGGGUUGAAUAUAUGCAACAUCAAUGAUUGCACUUACUGUACAUGCAGUUGAUUCCCCUUUCAUUUGUUGAUUCAUCUGUCUGUUUUGACUUAAAAAGAGAAAAAAAAAACACCAAAAAACUUCUACCACUUUCUUUUGGGAAAAUAGCAUCCCUUUCUGUGGAAAUCUUUCACUACUUCCUUCCUUGCACAUAGAAUGUGUCAUGUUAAAGCUGUUACUGAGUUUUAGGCAGAGAAGCAGUUGUCUGUCAAAUUGCUUCAAAAGAAACCACAAAAUGAGCAGGUCAUAAAUCCAGAAGCAGCACAAGAGUGGGAAUACGAGACCUGCAAUAUGUAAUGUGACUCUUUCAGUCCAACCUCCCCUAUUGCCACUCUGGUGCUAAAUAUACUGCUGGUGUCCUUGCAAGAAACCAAAUGCACUGAGCUGGGAAAGGCAGCGGGCAGCAUUAGUUUAGGGAUUGUUUCAUUUCUGUAUGUUUCCUUGAUAAUACGCUAAGAAGAGAGUAGCUAAAUUCUCCUAAUUAUGUAUUUGCAACUAUGCUGGGGAAGUUUCACAAAUAUCAGAUCAUCUUAAUCAAAUGUCUAAUUUUUAACCUAGCAUUUUAAUUUUUAAAGACAUUUUUGUUAAAAAUUGUCUUUUUAAAAAAAUCCAGGUACUUAUCUUACCCUCCAGGAACUCCUAUUUUAGAUUAAGAUAAGUGAAAUCUGCACUUGCAGUUCAUGAAUAAGUGUUGUAAGGUAGGAAGGUUAUUUCGAAGAGUUUAGCUUGCCUGUAGCAUUUGUAUUAGAUAAGUGAUAAGUCAACUCUAUGUUGUGUUGCGUUUUACACAGCAUGCAGAUAACCAACCCAGUGAGUCCUGGAAUGAACCUUUCCCCAAUGUUGGUGAGGUUUGAACUUUCUAACUUCGGGAGAUGUAAGGAAAAGAAAUAUUGAAAAACACAGAUUUAGAUUAACUUGAAAUUAAUUUAAAAAAUCCAUAUGAAUUCUUUUUGUAUGUAUAUAAAAAUACUAGGUGAACUUUGAAGCACAGUUAGCAGCUUUUCCAGAUUUCAUGUCUUUCACUCAUCACUAUUUUUUCUGUCUGGUUUAAUAAUUUUACUUUGUUGUCUCUAAGCUGAAUUUUUAGGAAAAUAUGUAAUUUUCAUGAUUUUCUAGUUUGUACCCUUAGCACUACUGAUGCAGAACAGGAAGGCCAUCCAGGGUUGUGAUCAGCACCUCUUUAGAAUCUGUCGCUUCCUCUGCACUGAUGACAGAGACUUGCUUUGAACUUUCACAUCUAACUCUCCCUUGCUUUGAACUUGGAACGAAUUCCCUCAAAUGCUUUGAUAUAGCUUUGCAGCACACUUUUCAUGAUCUCUCUCUCCCCCUCUCUCUUGCUAUUUAGCAAAUAGUCAAGUCUCUUUUUUCACCUUUUUUUUUUUUUUCUCACAGAAUUUUCUAGUUACUUCAUUAGUAAAUGAAGCAUUUAAUAGCUUCUAAAUAUUAAAUGUUGGAUAGAAGUUGCUUGUGAAAUUGGGUAGAUUUUAUUAAUGUGACUUAUUUUAGUGUUUUGAACAUAUGGUAAGUUUCACUAAGUAAUUGUAAUAGUUUUUAUAUCUUAUUUAUAAAAGACCUAUAGCCCCAUCCCAAUGCAUGUGGAUUCCUCAUGUCUCAAUCUGAUGCCAGUCCCAGGGCAAGGACCUGCAAGUGGUGCCAUGCUGUGGGUCACGGCUUGCAUGUGGAAGCACUCAUGUCAGGUUGUGCCUCAGUGUACCCCAUCCUCUCCAGGACCACAGUGUCGAGGGACAGUGAAAGGACCGUGGCGACCAGUGGAGCAUCCCUCUCCCUUGCCACUGCAGGGGACAAGUCUUUUGUUUAUGCAACCAGAGAGGCUCUAUGAAGUUUAAGUCAUUCAGCUUUUUUCUGAUUUUCCAUUCUAGGCCUUACAAUGAAAUUACUGCUGGACGAAUGCAGAGAAUCACCUCGUGAUUUUGAGUUGGAGUUUCUCCAUCUACAAAGUUGAGAGGUCAAUGAGAAGACUCCUGUACCGCAGAGAAGAGCAGGAUGGCAACAGUUCUAUCAGGACUUGAUCCUUCUUAAAUGUGAUGCAGAAGUAGGAGCAAGUGCUCUUCAGCCCAAGAGUAUGAGGAAGAAUUCAUAUUGUGGCCUUGCUCUGACAGCAUAGGGGCAGUGAUACGAUGAAGACAAGCAAAUUUUCCAUUGCUGUACACCAUGGAAAGUUCUAAUGAAGGAGAUUGGAGCUGGAGACCACAACGUGUUUGAAGUAAUUUUGAUGUCCCUUUUGCACAUUCCCAAGCUACUUCUGCAUUGCCAUGAUUUUCUUUGGCCUAAAAUUAGGUAGAAGAUGCUUGAUCAAACCAGUCAAACUCGGGCUUCCUGCUGUGAGUGUAACAGAUGAUAAGUAUAAACUUGAGUUCUCAUGAAUUUUCAGCCACGAGUCCAUCUGGGAAUAAUUUCGCUGUGAGAAGAAGGCUUCCAUUCUAUCAAGAAAAAAGGCUGCGUGGAAAUCACAGAAAGCUACAGAAGAAAGUUUCAGUCAUUGUUUAAAAGCAUUGUGGCCUGUGAAGAUGAAAACCAGAACGGGGAUUUGCCUCCAAAUUUUAUAAGCUUCUAGAAAGUAAAAUGAUGAGAAACAAAUGCAAAAAGUUCACAAAAGUACUAGUUACUUAAAAAAAAAUCUUACUGCCUUAUUCUUUCAUGAUGAAUAAACCCAAUUAGAAGGAUACUAAUUACCCAGAAUGACAUCAUUUAAACAGGUAGAGAUAUUCCUAGUACGUUUAGGUUGCCACCUAGGUUAGUCUUAUACUUCUCAGUUGCUAACAAUGAAGUUCUCAGCCACUGGAACAAAUUAUUAAGAGGAACAGUGAGCUUACCAUUUCUUGAAGUCUUCAAACUGAGAGUGAAUGGUAUGCUUUAGCAAACAAUGGUGACACAGCUGGGUGAAAUUAUAUGGUUGUACUAAAGAGCAGGAAACAUGAGAUGUUCUAUGUGGUCCUUUCUAGCCUUAAGAGCUAUAGAUCUGUAAUUUCACAAAUACCAUUACAAAGAAUUCUUUAGAAGUAGUGAUGACCAUAGCAAUAAUCUGAAUCCAUCUCCUGAUUUGGGGUAGAUUAUUCUAAAGAACUUUGAAAAAUUACAGGCUACAGUACUGUUUUUGUGUGGUACUGUCACUACAAGGUUGUGUAACUAGCAUAAAGGGGUCACUUUGUAAUUUUACAGUAUUAGAAAUCCCUUUUUGUGGACUAAAGAGAUCCUUCUUCUCUCCAAAAGAGCUCAUUGUACUUCAGUUCGUGAAUGAGUGUAUAAACAAGUAAGCAUGUGUACUGCUUUCCUAUGGUGAUGCAUUUCUCUCACUGAAAUGUGUUAGAUUCACUUAGUGAAAUAAAAAAAUAUCCGGAGAGGAAAUUAUAAGAUAUUGCUCAUUAACACAGACUAUGUCUAAGCUAAACUAAUUUUCUUCUUGUAGGGUGACCCGAGACACUGCUUAAAAGAGAGCCCUUUGCCAUAGCCAGUCUUCCAGUUGAAGACAGCUAAAUCAUUGUUUUCCAUAUUUCCAACAACUUUUGGCAUUUGUCACUGUCAAAAAUUAAAUACAAUGGAAUAUUUGGAAAUUUGGGAAAGGGAUGUAUAACUGAGUGAACAGUUGGACAUGAAAUGUUUCUUCAGUUUUAGAAAGAUGAAUAAAUUAAUUGACUACAUUUAAAAGGAAGACUGUGCCAUUUCAUGCUGACUCUCAAACACCAUCCUUACAAAUCCAUCUUUAACUUUGUCUGAUUUAAAAUCAACAACAACAAAGAAAACCGCUGCCACCACCACCAAGAAACCCAAAACAACCCCCAAAACUGUAGCCUACGCAAUAAAAGACCAUAAGUGUAUGUAUAGCAUAUCGUAUUAUCAGAAAUCACAAUAGUCACAAGAAGUAUUCAUUCAGAGUGGUUAAACUAUCUUAUUAGUCAUAAGAGGAAAUAACUCUUCUGACAGUAUGACUUUCACCCAGAAGGAUGGGUUUGGCAGUACAGCUGAGACAUCUGGAUUGUCAAAACUAAUGCUAGGAAAAACAUAAUGAUGUAACUUUUCAAACUGUGACAGAGGAAGCUGAUGAUUUAGUGUCCAAAAUGGAUAUGCAUAAUUCCAGAUGCAAAUUCUUAGAUUUUAGAUUGUAGUUAAUGUCUAGUUACCUUUGUUUCUAUCAAUCUGACUGUUGUUCUGGCUCACUACUUCUGUAUAUGCACAUCAUGCCUUAAUAACUAUCGCCACUCUUCCUCAGUUGAAGUGCUGUCUUCAAGACAUGCUUUAGCCAAAUGCUUCUCAGAUACUAGGAGCUGAUCACAGUAUGAGAGCCCAGCAGAAAUCUGAUCAAUUGUCAAAUGCAGGAAUUAGCUUGCUUUAUCAAGCACUCUUUUAUUGAGUUUCCUAAAUAUAUGACUUGUGCAUAUUCAAAUUAAUUCAGCUUUUUCUUGCUACCAUGUUUUGUACUCUGGAGAAAAGAUGUUUGGAAAAGCUGGGUACUAUAAAAGGGGUGUUACCUCUGACUUCUCUUAAGCUUUUCAAAUAUAUUAUCCUUUACAUUUUUUUUUACCUUGUUUAUUGUAACAGGCUUAGCAUCAACGAUGACUAAUUUAUUUGCCAUGCAAAGGCCAUAUUAAAAUACAGGUGCGUAUAUUUAAUACAUUAAUGAAUCUAAAAGAGCAAUGUUAGGUUGACUUGUUUAAAGAAACUCAGUUUUAGGCCCUUAAAGACAAUCUGAGUAGAUCUCAUUUAAAAUGUACACCAUGGAGAAUAAGGAGACAUUUGUACAUUCGAAGAUUUUGAGGUCUGGACUAUGUUUCCAUUCACCAGGGUGGUUCUCAGAAGUUAUUUCUGAGUCACAUAGCAAGGAAACUAGGGUAAGCUUGAUCUGCUAAUUAUGUCCCCUUUGUCGUGUGGAUAUACAGAGAACAGUUUUCUCAUCCCAGAAAGGUUCUGUUGAUCUUGAAAUUUUAGGCCUGGCAUAUGGAGCUCAGUGAAUAUAUGGGUGGCUUAAGAAACAAGUGAACAUAUUUCAUCAUAAUGUUCAUUUUUUUUUCUUUUUUAACCAUUUAAUAUAAACUAAAUUGAAUUUCAACAGAAGAUGCUUCUAACCACAAACCCAAGGCUUUUUUUUUUUUUUUUUUUUUUCCUAAGCGUUGAAAUGGAACAGUUCUAGAAUUUCAAAACCUUUUUUUUUUCCCCCAAACUUUUUUGAGGACAGGAAGUUCUUCUAGGAAUAAUUUUCAUUUUUAUGAAUUUUCAGUUGUGUCCAUCUCUCUUCCUUCCCUUCUGAGAGCCUUAUCUUCAGUCCGAGCUGUUAACGCAGGCUUCCAAUACUUUCCAUAAAUUUAAGGUAUGGUGACCUUAAUCCCAUUUAUUGAUGCAUUGUGGUGAAACAUGGAUUUGAGGCAACUUUCUUUAUCCAUUUGUGCAAUAAGAUGUUGGUGAGAGUGUUCUGACAGUCUUAAUCGGAAUUCUUCUUUCCUGUAUGAUGAAAGACUGAGAGACCUAGGACUGUUCAGCCUGUAGAAGAGAAGACUGAGAGGGGGAUCUUAUCACUGUUAAUAAAUAUCUAAAGAGCUGGAGUCAAAUGGAUGGCUCUUUUCUGUGGCGUACAGUGACAGGACAAGCGGUAACAGGCAAAAACUGGAAUAUAGGGAUUUCCAUACAGACAUAAGGAAAAACUUCUUUACUUUGAGUGUAACAGAGCACUGGAACAAGCUGCCCGGUGUGGUUACAGAGUCUCCUUUCCUGGAGGUAUUCAAAACCUGCCUGGAUGCUUGCUUGUGCAACCUUCUGUAGGGAAUCUGCUUUAGCAGAGGGUUGGAGUAGACGAUAUCCUGAGGUCUCUUCCAACACCAACGUUUCUGUCAUUUCUUUACAAGUACUUUAGAAUGUUAUUGUUCUGUGUUUUGUUUUUCUAUAUUUUACAUACUGUUCCAUUUCAGUUAUUGGUUCACAGUUUAUAAACAAGUAGAUAGGAGUAGGUUAGAAAUUAGUUUUAUUAGCUCAAUGAGCCCCUUUUCUUUACAUCCAUCUGGAAGAAUAAUUCCCUGUCACUGAUUAACUGGUUUUGUUGAUGGGAAUAAAUCUGAUGCCUUCAAGAAAGGAUUAUUAAUUAAGCUUCUUUAAAAUGUCUGGGUGACUUUUCUAACUGGUAAAGGCUGCUGGAUUUUUAUUUUUUAAAUAGCAAUAGUUGUACAUGAUUGCAGUACACUGGAAACAAAUGCUUUUUGUGAUUUGUAUGAAUGGAUAACUUGUUCUGCCGAGAAGAAACUAAUGCAUGAGCUACCUUGCAGCUGGUGACUGAGGAGACCUAAAUAGCUAAACAGAAGCACCAAGGUUUGGGUAAGUUCUGCACAAAUACUGCCAGAUUAUCUAGUGAAAGUCUCUACGUGAGAAAAGAAUUACAAAUCAAGGUAUUCAGAGCUCUCAAAAAUGAGGUUGAAUCAUAAGUUCUGAGUAAGGUUAAAUAAAGAAGUUAACAAAUAAGAGAUUUUUCUCCUUAGUAAAACCAAGAAAGCCUGUUUUAGCAGUUUCUUCCUUUCUCCAUUCCAGCUGAGCAUUGUUGUACAAGGUCUACCAAUUCAGAAAGUAAAAUGUUAGCUUAUAUGUUAGCUUACUCUUGAACAGAGUCCUGAUAGUUACAACAGCUUUAAAGCUCAUAAUCCCAUAGCUUGGUAGUAGGUUUUAUUUAUUUAUUUAUUCAGAAGAAUAGCAUGAUCUACUACAUUUCUACAGACAUUGUACAGCUUUAGUGUGUCAAGACCAUGGCAGAAUUGACAGACCCUCAUGUCCCUGCCUGACCACCCAGGGCUCCCACACUUGGCCUUGGCUCAGGGUCCCACCUCAGCCCAUAUCCUGUCAGCCACUGCCCCAGUGAAGCUGCAGCAGUGUCAGGCUCCAACUCCCCACAGCUCUGUUCAGCCAUGGGACCCACUGAGCCAGGCCAAGUCCUGGAUUCCCUCCAUGGGGAGGUGCUUCGGGCUUUGCCUGCCCCAGUUCUGUGCUUCUGGUUGGGGUGGUGGGACAGGGGACAGCCCCGGCUGGUGAGGGCCAAUCUUAACAGACCUUAGGGAGCCUGAUGUAGAGUUAUGUGGUAAGCCCCUACCACCUAAAUUGUCUGAAAUUGUUGUGUCCAGAUAUAGCAGACAGUCAUAUUUCUAAAAGUAUUUGUGAGGCAGUAUUGGCCUCCAGAAGGAAAGGUCUCCUCAUGGUAGAGAUGCUGUGCUUCAGAAAGAAAGAGCAACACUCCUGAUGGAAACAAAUGUUGGAAUGUGCCAGUUACCUGACCUUCAUCGUGGUAUGUUCCCUGAGUUGAAUGACACUGUGAUGUGUUGUAUCACAAAAAUGCAGGCGAAUCAAAAGGGACAUUUUCAGUCAUCAGCUUUCUACAAUGAAGUGCAGGUUCAUAGCUUUUCUGCCCUGAAGAUAAUUCUUAGUUCAUGCUUAACUGGGAAAUAGCUGAGAUCUCCUAAUAGAGAUGUUGCCUUUAUAUAAUAGCUUAUAUCACAACUCUUUCAUCACAAACAGUGGAGGUUAUAGGAGGAUGCCUGAUUUUACUGGGACGUAAAAUCAUUGAGGUUGGAGAAGACCUCUAUGAUCAUCCAGUCCAACCAUCCACCUACCACCAAUGUUACCCACUAAACCCUGUGCCUAAGUACCACGUCUCUACGUUUCUUGAACACCUCCAGGGACAGUGACUCCACCACUCCUCUGGGCAGCCUGUUCCAGCACAGUACUUGCAGAACACUCCAAUCUGAAGCUUAGAUUGUAUUAAGGAUACACUUAUAUAUAUGUAUAUAUGAAUAGGUAACUCUGUAGCUUUCUUUCGUCUUCUGAAAUGCAAAGUUUUGAAACCAUAGCAAAUAGUCUGAAGUCUAUCUGGAAAGUGAUUAACUCUGUCUCUGGGAUCAAGACGUGUUCGUUGCUAGACAGAGGAGGGGAAGUAGAUACUCUCCGUUUCAGUGUGUCUAUAUAUAUAUACACCACAUAUUACCAGUAGCACUCUUGUAAACAGGAGGAAUUAGCAGCAGCUUCAGCAAAGUAUCAGCUCUUCUCUGUAGUCUCACAGACAGAUGGUGCUUCACAAUGUGUCUUUUUUAAGUGAAAGUUCUGAAGGAAGCUUCUCUUUAUCCUUCCAGCAUAGGAAACCUCUUCUAUUUCCUGUGUCAAGACUUUAUUAGCAGCCUCUCGUAAUGCAAAAUGGCAGCCCACAAAUUGCAGCUAGUGGGAUAUCCAGUUAGCCAGAUGUAUUAGUGCUGUUCUGAAGGUAAUGUCUCCUAUUUGAUUAUACUGACCCAUAAUGCCAGAGGCAGAUAUUGGUGGUACAGCAGUAGAGGCUUCCCACCAACAUUCCAUUGCACUUUGUUGCCAUGUGACAGAGGGCAGCAUAGGGGCAGUCUGGCAUAAUGUUGCCUGACACGGAAGUGCACUAUAAAGCAAAGGGGUGUCACUGAAUUCCUCCUCGUGGAAUAAAUGGCACCUGCUGACAUUCAUGACACUUGCUGAGUAUUUAUGGAGACCAAACAAUGGACGUGAGGAGGUGGUGGUUGGUACAUUUCAGCAGAGGCAGCAGUGACAGUGGAUCACCUUCACUGGUGCAGAUUUUUAUGAGCAUGGCAUUCAGAUUCUUGCUCAUCUUUGGUGUAAACACAUAGCUAAUAGUGGUGACUGUGUUGAAGAGAGUGUUUUGAGCUGAGAAUUUGCUCAAUCAAAUAGUGUUAUUAUGCUCUUUGUAUUGGUUGUAGUUUCUAUGGAAAUAAAUAGGAGGCAUUACUUUCAGAGCAGCCUACGUAUUAUGAGAAUUAAAUGUCUGCAGGUAACAGUGCGCUCUGGGCUUCAUCCCUCACUGUCUGUAUUAGUCAGUUACACUCUUCUGCUAUCUGCUUCAUUUUGUGUUGUUUCAAAAUCUAAUUUUGAUGCAUAGCACCACCGUUCUUUUUGGACUGACGUAGCGCUAGUGCAUCAUAAAGGAUCAAUGGAGAGAUUUUUGGCAAUGCAGUAUGGAACAACAGGGACUUGUGCUACCUUUUACUCUUGGAAUGGAGACAGGAUGGUGACUUACAAUGGGGAGUAGUUUUCUCUUAGGUGCAAACAGUUUGCAGCUGAAUGCAGAGGAGGUUUAGUUUCUGUGCACCUCAUGUGUACUGUGAAAGCGACUAACUGCAUGAUUCAUUUUGCACCUGAGAAGAAAGCACAUCAACUUGUGGUUCUGCUACUAAAAUCAUUUGUUUAAAUGGCAAUUCUUGUUUCUGAAUCCUGAUGAUAAUUAGGUUUUACUAAUUGUAAGUUUGGAACAUCUGUAGAUUCAGGAAUAUUUCAGCAAUUUCUGACAUGAGUUUUAAUGUCUUUCCUCAUGAUUGUAGAAACAUGUACUUCUCUACAAAAAGAAGAAUAAUGCUUCUAGUGGGAGGUGUCCCUGCCUAUGGCAACCUCAUCCAGUCUGUCAAUGCUUUUUUAAAUAGUAUACUGCAUAUAGUAUAAGUACUUGGGCAUGGAUGCUGUCAGUAGAUAAAACGCAGAAUAAAAUUAAAUGACCUUAUGAACCAGGAAGGCAUAUAAUAUUUUCAAUGUUGAUAUAAACAUCAGCUAGGAGAAGGGACAGCAUUGAUAAACAGUGUCAAUAGCUAGGUUUAAUCUUUGUCAAGAUGAAACAGAUGCACUGGAUUCCGAAUAACUUUGCUGUUGGCUGCAUUGACUAAGAAAUGAGCCUCUUGACUAUUUCAGGCAUUGGAACAUAUAUGCACUAAAAGCUGAACAUGAACUCUUUCUGUUUACUGGGUAAAUGUGUACUUCAUGCUUCAAGAAAUACCCAGCCUUUGUCUUUGAUGUUUUUUCUUUCCUGCUUUGCAACUCAACAUCUGUACUUUCACACUUAGCUCAGAAUAAGUUUUCCAACUAUGGUCAUCCAAACAAAGCUACCUAUCGUUGGUUGAUAUUGACCUAACUGCAUUAUACCUUAGCUCCUGCCUUCAGCUUAAAUUCCUGCAGAACCAGCUUAGCAGUUUAACUGAAGGUACUUGUUGCUUGUAACACACCUUUGAAUUUGCAUUACUACCUUGCAAGAAGAGAAAAUUUAUUCUGGAACUAGGAUAUGUUACUUUUAUGUAUAUUUUGGAAAAUUAAAGGGAAAUAAGUAGCUUUCCAUUCCCUUUCCUCCUCAUGCAAAGAAAUGAAGCCAUUUUGGAGAUGGAUAUUUAAGUUUUGUGGCAUGGAUGGGAUUAUUUAGUAAGUAUUUGUUCUUUUUCUUUCAUUACAUGAGGUUGUGCUUUUCUUGGAUCAUGCAGAUUCUUGUAAAAAUGUAACAAGCUACCAUUCUAAAUGUACCAAAUAAGAAACAGAUGGAUCUCUUUAAAGAAUAGUCUAUCAGUAAUAUUAAUGAGAACUCAUGUUUAGGGACCAGGCACCUCCCUUUCCUUAUGCCAGACUUCUUAGCUUGAACAAAGAGGCUCUUCUGGCAAUGACUUGCACAUGGUGAAGGAGAAAAAGGAAGUCUUGGUCCCCUCAAAAUAAAGUACAGCAUUUUUUUUUUGUCAUUUCAAGAUGUAUUUUUAAUGUGCUAUACCUUUGGCUGUCAUGUGCAAAUUUUUUGGGGGUGGACUGAUUUAAAAAGUCUUGAUCCUGCUGUCAGUAUCUCCUUCACACCACAACUGAAUUGAUGUAACUCCUUUUCCUCAGUGGAGUUCCUUUGACCGACAUGUGAACUCUUCCCAGUUAAUACAAAGUAGAGCUAUGUUCAUAUGACUUCUGAAUUAAGAAAAAUCCAGUUUGGUAUAAUGUAUAAUAGCGAGUACUCACUAGAUGCAACUUACAUGUGUUAGAUUCAGGUUUUGUGAUAUCUCCUUGCCUUAGUUGAAGUGGCCUUGUGUUGUUCAGUUCCUUUGCUUGGUGACACUCUUCUCAGUGAAGGUUAGCAGUAUGAAAGAAUGGCUAAUAUGUGUAUGACCAUUCUCUAUUUCUUCAAGAUCACGUGCUAUCUGCUCAUAUCACGUGCUAUCUACUGACAAAACCUGACUAAUCUGCUUGCUGAAAAUGAGCCAUCAGACAGCUUUAGAAAUGGCUGGAAUAUGCCUUUUUGAACUUACUAAGUCUCAUGAAUAUACUUGGCGUGCCAGGCAUUGGGCAAGCAUUGGAGAUAUACUCUGUGAUUCUUGACUGCUCCUAAGGGUGUUAUAGCAGAACAUGUGAUCUGUACAAAAGGUGCUCUUCAGAAAAAUCAAGUAAUAAGGCUGAGAUGUUCCUUUACUGAGCAUAUUUUCUUUUACUUGGGGUAUUUCCAAAAUGGGAUGGGUGGGAUGUACAAUACUUAUUUGUAGAUGGAAUGAUAACUUAAUCUAGAUAAAGCACAUACAUACUGUUAUUUCAAUAAAAAAAAAGUAGGCUUAUGUUUAAAAAGGAAAUAUAAUACGAUAAACAUCCUUUUUGUACUGGUCUAGUUAUUUUUCUAAACUUUUGUCAAGUUUGAGGUAUUUGCCUUCCAAAAUAGAAUUUUUGCAAGAGUCUGCAUGUUUUUUAAUACCUUUUCCAGUAUCUGCUGAGUGAGCCAAAGAUCUGUGGUCAAGUGGGCAUCUCAGUUACAGUUCUUUAUUGAGCAUCUAAUACAUUAGGCUUUAAGUCACACAGACCUUUCUCUUUCAGAGCACAGCUCUUGAGCCUUCAAUUUUCAACUUCAUCUAAGCUCCAAGGAAAACUCCACAAAAUGAAUCCAGUCUUACUUUAGUGAUGUCCCCAACUCUUGGAUGUCCAUGAUGUUUUGGUUUAACCUAAUCAAUGUAUGAAGAGCAUGAAGAAGAAAUUUAUUUAUUUAUUUAUGUUAGUUUUAUUUUGAUUUUAAAGCAACCUGAUAAUGUGUGGAAAGAACUUAUAUUUUCAAAUUUUAACUCUAUUUCUGCUAGAGCAUGAAGUCACGUUAGGAUGUCCUAUUUAGAAUUUUCUGACUUUCUUGUACAUCCAUCCCUUAAUGCAUCUUAGAAUGACUUAGAAUAACUAAAAAUUUGAUAUUAGCAGUCAUAUUCUGUAGAUGUUAUUAGCAUUUCUCUCAAAUUGUAGUAAGAUUACUUGCAGUAAAUGUGCUAGAGAAUACUGUGGAGCUGGAUACUUGUGCCACUAUCCACAGAACUAUGCCAAAUGACUAGUCUGGGGUGCAUCCAUUCAGUGAUCAGCUCUCAUCAAUGCAUCUGGUUUAUUGUAGAUGCCUAGUGUUAAAAUGGCUACAUGCCUUUGCUACAUUUCUGAUGUGUUGCGGGACUUUGUUAGAGAAGGAGAGAUUAGAUUAGAUUAGGGAGCAAGAAAUGCUGUGGAAAUGUCAUAUUGCCUUCAUAAGGAGUUCUGCGUUCAGGGUGAAUCAUACAAUCAUUAAGGGUGGAAAAGACCUCUAAGAUCAUCUAGUCCAACUGUCCACCUACCAACAGUGUGCCCACUAAACCAUGUUCCUUAGUACCACAUCUACGUGUUUCUAGAACACAUCCAGGAAUGGUGACUCCACCACCUCCUUGGCUCCAUUCCAGUUCUUGACUACUCUUUCUGAGUUUUUCCUAAUAUCCAACCUGAACUUCCCGUGGUGCAACUUGAGGCCAUUCUCUCUUGCCCUUUCACUCGUUACCCAGGAGAAAAGGCCAACCCCCACCUCACCACAACCUCCUUUCAGGUAGCUGUAGAGGGUAAUAGGAUCUCCCCCGAGCCUCUUCUCCAGACUAAGCAAUCCCGGCUCCCUCAGCCAUUCCUUGUAAGACUUGUGCUCCAGUCCCCUCAUCAGCUCCAUUGCCCUUCUCUGGACACGCUCCACAGCCUCAGUGUCUUGUAGUGAGUGGCCCAAAACUCAACAUGGUGCUCCAGAUGUGGCCUCACCAGAGCUGAGUACAGGGAGACAAUCACCUCCCUGUUCCUGCUGAUUAUGCUACUUCUGAUAUGAACCAGGAUGCCACUGGCCUUCUUGGCCACCUGAACAGUGCUGGCUCAUGUUCAGCUGAGCACUGACCAACGCACCCAGGUCCUUUUCCUCCACACAGUCGUCCAGCCAAUCUGCCCCAAGCCUGUAGUGCUGCCUGGGGUUCUUGUGGCCAAAGUGCAGGACCCAGCACUGGGUCUUGUUGAACUUCAUCCCUUUUGCCUCAGCCCAGUGAUCCAGCCAGUCCCAAUCCUUAGAUUUAGAAAUCUGCCUUACAUACAUUCAGAAUAGAUUGUCUGUUGUAGUACAUGAAAAUUGCUUCAAAAGCCGAGAUCCUUCUUGGUGCAAUGGUUGAGGUUUCAGAGUAUGUAUAGUUUAUUUUUGCCUUAAAUUAGAACAGAGAGUCAAAAGUUUUGCAGAAAAAAAAGGGGAAAUGUUUCUUUGUGAUACUAUCAGAUCAAAUAUAUGAAAACAAAAGUCCUCUCUUUCCAGAGAAGAAAUGCUGGAUAUUUGAUGAUGACAAUAUUAAUGACCUUUGAAAAUGCAUUAUAAAUCUAGGGCAAUGUCAACAUUGGCAUUAGUGGUGGAUAAGUUUGUUUAAAUAGCAUUUAUAGCAGCUUAAUCAUGAAAUGCAAUCUUUUGGAUGUUUAGAAAUGUCUUAUUACUUUAUUAUGCUUAGAGCUUAUAGUUAUUAUACUUAGAGCUGACCUGUUGCUCUGACCCUCUAGCUGGGACUGAAAAGUUGUUUUACCGUCUAUCAAACUUGAUUGGAAGGAAGGAAGGCUAGCAAAAUGGAGCUUCACUGAUAUUUUGUUUCCAGUGAAGAGGCACCAUUGAUGUUCAGGUAGACAUCCAAAGCAUUAGACCUUCUAUAUGAAAAUGGUGCCAAUGUGCUUCAUUGUCAAAUGUACUCAGAAGAACUCUCUUUUAGUAUCUCUAAACAAUACUAGCACUUUUUUUUUUUUUUUUUGCAAAGAACAAUGCUGGCCACACUUAUCCAUGGGAUAGUCAUUAGUAGUUUGAUUAGCAUUGUUCUGUAAUAUGGUUUUCCAGCCAGAAUCUAACAGCCUUCCCCUCAAUCUCCCUCUGUGAAAAAUAUGCUAAAACUCUGUAAGGAACAAUGAAGUUUUACAGUCAUCUAGUGAGUACACAUUUGUUCUUCAGACAUGUCUGUACAAUAAGGGGAAAUCUGUGAAGUGAUGAGCAUCCUCAUCCCCCACAAAUUACAAGAAAAAAUACCAGAGCUUAAUACAUCUUUAAUAUCUCUAAGAACUUUCCGUUCAGAAUUAUCAAAGUGACCUUGUCCAAAUGCUAUUUUCCAACAAUGAAUAUGUGUGCAUAUUUUAUAUAAAAGAGGGUACGUCAUGGUGAUUUGUAAAACUCCUGUGAUUCUGUAGGUCUGAGAAAUCUCCUGUAUUAGGUGUGAAAUGCAAGGUGUAGGUUCAGCUCCUGAAGAGAAGAGGCAUGGUACUGCAGCGUAGGCUUCGUACUGAGACGCAUCUGACUCUAAGGUUCAGUAGUGCCUUGUGGAAUAAAUAUUCCUCUGCAUUUUGAGAUUGCGAUUAGUAAGUAUGAUUCCGUUUGCAGCCCAAUUUUUGUUUCCAAGGUCAACGUGAGAAGAAAACCAGGAAGAAAACAGAGUAAUGCCUUCUGCAGAUUUAUGGUACAUUAAGAUUGGGAUUUCCCUGCUUUCAGUCUUGGUUACUAGACAUACUAGCCAUCAUCAGAAGAGCAGGCCUGAGAAUUAUAGGAUACUUCCUACUGUUACCAUAACACUUAUGUGUUUCUAUACCUGAUUUCUAUAGCUUCAAACCUAGUCUUCUCCAGGUCUGCAGAAGAUGAAGAAGAUUCUGCCAAUGUUGGAUAAAAGCAUUGGUCAUUAAUUAAUAUAUUCUGAAUAUUUUGUCAAGUUGGGGGCAGAUGAGUGGUGAGGUUAUAAAACAAAUUAAUACAGUAAAGUUCUCUUCUGUGUUUCAAGGAUGGAAUAAUUAUAAUGAAUGCUGAAAGAUGUUCAUGAUAACCCUACAUGGAUAUCUGUACUAAAUUUACUCUGUAUCUUCAGUGGUGAUAAGCACUUUUCUUGUGGCCUUGACAGUAGAGUUGUCACUCAGCAACAAAAGCUAGCAAUUCCUGAUUUCUAACAAUCUACGGACAUGAUUUGGUAUAAUAUCAAGGACUGAGAAGUAUGAAUGGCUGUAUAAGAUAGUUUCACGGGCUAUCUCCAAAGCAGUGAUGUGUGAAGGCCACUGGUGGCCUAACUUGCUUUCUGCAUCUGUUCCAGAGGAACUAAAAGUAUACACACCUCCAUUCUGUCUGUUGUAGACCAGUGAGAUUUUCUUUAACAGCAGCAGAGUGUUUUCCUCCAUCAGUCUGUGGGCCAUUGCAAAGCAGUUCUACUUCUAUAUCAUUUAGUGAUAGCAAAUAGGAUAUAAUGCAUGAUGUCUAGGAUUCAGUAACUUGUUUGUAGUUACAGAAACCUGCAUAGAGGCUGUCCUUGUGCAGAUCACAGAAACUAGUGGAAUACGUCUUUCUCCUUUGUGACCUUGCCUACUGUUUUUCUCUAUAUCUGUGGUGCAGAUGCAACCUGUAGGUUUAUGGUGGAAUGUGCAUUUUGCAGGCACAACCAGUAGUUGUGACACUUCCUACAGCACUGGAUGUUGUCUACUGGAUUUUUAUCAUUUGUUUCAGAAAAUGUCUGAUAUUGACUGAAGAUUGAGAAUGUCCAACCCAAACCAUUCAAUGAUUCUAUGAAUGACAGAUGUCAAAGAUCACCUAUGUGAUCUCAAAAAGCUGCCAUUUUGACAUUCUCUGUCACACCCUUGGGAAACCUCCUGCAAACAUCUCUGGCACCAUUUCCUGCCUUUUAGACUUUAGUCUAGCUAAUGGCUUUGCCAUGGUGGAUGCCUCAGAAUGAUAUGGACACAUUAGAAAGAGUCCAGUGAGGCUCUUCCAAGAUGAUCAAGGGACUGGAGAACUGAGAGAGUUGAGACUGCUCAUCCUGGAGAAGGGGAUGUUAGCAAUGUGUGCAAAUGCCUGAAGAGAAUGCACAGGGGAUUGAGUCAGCUCUUUUCAGUGUUGCUUAGUGUCAGGACAAGAAGCAGCGGACACAAGAUGGAACACAAGAUGUUCUGUCUAAACACUGGGAAACGUUUUUUACUGUAUAACUGUGCCCUGGAACAGGGAGCCCAGAGAGGCUGUGGAGUCUCUUCCUUGUGUAUCCUCAAAGACCAUCUGGACAUGGUCAUGGGCAAGCAGACCUAGGACCAAGUGACCUCUGAACGUACAUGCCAAUCUCAACCAUUCUGUGAUUCUCUGACUUGUUGUUUCAAGAGGUGAAGAGUGCAGUUGUCCUAGCAUAGCUCAGAAAUUAAAGUGCCAACCCGCUACUCGUAUUUCCCCUCACAAGUAUUUUGUGGCCCUCACUAAGGCCACAAGACUUAGGAAGAUGUCCAGGUGAGAAAAAGAAAAAAAAAAUCUAUUUGGACAACUUUGGGAUAAGAAUCAAGACUUGGACUGUUGUCAAGAAACUCACAGUGCCUCAGACUGAGGGCUAAAAGGAGGUACUAGGACCUUGUUGUGAGCCAAAUGAUAGCAUUGAAUGCUCCCUUCUUAGGUACAGUUUUGUAGGUAACCAUGAGGUGGUUAGAAGCGUUGCUACAAUUAGCUAGUUGUCAGUGGCUGAGAGUAGGACACAGAGAAGCAAAGGAGGUAGACAGUGGGCAUUUACCUCUGCACUUUUCCAUUAUAUUCAGGUAGCACUGCUAUGCCAUACAUGACAACUUCUGUACUGUUUUUCUGACCAAGGCUGAGAAGCUAUCUUUUUCAUGAGGCUAUACAGGCUUGUUUCUGCUGAAAUCCUGUGGAGAUGGAAAACUAUGGCUGCCUUCUCUGCAGAUGAGAAAAGCAUGCAACCCCUGAUAACUGAUCUUGCACUGCUUGCUUCAGUGCCAACAUCUUACGUGUCCUGUGUUGGCAGUCACAGUCCAUUAUUUGAAUCAGAAAGCUAGGGUAAUGGGCAUGAGGUGUCUGUUUUUGUGGUUUAGAACCUGUUUUUUGGCUUGUUGUAAUGUUAUGAGUAUUAGUAAUCUUUUGAAUCUGCUAGGCUGAAAAUUUGUAACUAGCUAAGAUCUAAGAGUGAUAGACCAUACACUACUGAGGCUUUGCUGUGGUGAUGCAUUGAGCAGAUAGCUUGCUCAGUGUUGUUAAGAGUGGCUGUGGGGUAGGGGGUGUAGGUGACAACUAUUUAUGGAGCGGCCAGUGAGCAGGUCACUGCCAUGACUAAACACAGAAUCAAAUAAGAGUGAUAUAAACACUCGCAUCCCUGUAAACACGUCCCCUUUCCUGUUUCUGCCCAGAGAGUUUGCUCUGAGUCAUCUAGAUUGUAAUGAAUGCUCUUGUCUGCCUUUGUUUCUGAGCUGCCCUUGAUCUCUCUAGAGAUAUAGAGGUCCUGCAUAUCAGGACCUGUGGCCUUCUCCAUGCCCUGGGCCUCUAUCCUAUUCUUGUCUGAAAAUUUUAUCAGUCUUUGGAUAUCUGCCAUGCCAGCCUGCUUCCUGCAGGUGUGCAUAAAUUGAGAGACUUAUAUAACCGUGUUCCUGGACUAUGCAUGACCAAGCUCAAAAUAGUUUGAGGUAUGAUAUUGCUUUGGCUUGCUGUCUUGCACAUAAUCUUCUGUACUUGUGGUUUGGUCUGAUAAUGGCUCAAGACCUAGGUGGUCUGCAUGGCAUAUACAUCACAUAAAUGAUAUAUAGUGCUGUGCUGCUCUGAUCCCAAUCAUUGAUGAAACGGAAAAGAGGUUUUCCUUCGGCCCUCUCUCUGAGUAGGACUGAUCAGAUCUCAUGGAGCCCACCUCUAGAUGGAGCAUGGCUUACUGCUGGCUGUGUGGUCAGGAGUCAGCCCAGCUAAAAUCCUGCAUACCCUAAGGCUGUGGUCACACAGAUGAAAGCAUAAAGGUGGCCAUAAGUAGGUCAAAGAAUAGAAAAGAACAGAAGACUGCUGUGGAAGCUGUCAUCUGUUUUGCAGGAGAGUUGCACUCUGUAGAUAGUUGAAGGUGGUAGCAGCAGUAUACAGUAACGAUCACAAUUUCUUUCUCCUCUCAGAAUAGUAGGAAAGGGGCCUUGAACUUACAAAACAAGCAGGGCAUCCAGAAACAUCAUUUUCAAAUCUUGCAUGACUGGGGGAGAGGAAGAAGGCCUCCAGCUGGGUGCAAAGGCAAUUCAGAGCACAGUGAAGUACACAGGUGAUGACACACUUUUCCAGAAGGAAUGGAUGUUCUGACUUCAUCAGAGAUUUAGACUGAGUCAAGUCAGAACUUCGGAGCCAGUCUUUGGUCUGUUAUGGUGAUUUUAGUUAGAUUUCCCUCAUUCUGUGAAACAGAAAUUAUAACGUUAUCUCUGUGUGAACAUUUCUCCACACAGAAUUCCUUUCAGCAACGUAUUAGCUUGUCAGACCAGGCAGAUGCAACUGUAAUGGUGUCAAAAAAGGACAGCUUUAUUAGACUCUCUUAAAAUGAGAAGGGAUUUUUUUUUUCAGCCAAUUAGUACUUAAAAAAAAAAAGCUAAAAACGUGUCUUCCUCAAAUACAGCACACCAUGUACUUCUUAUUAAGGACAAUGUGUGUGCUGAGUGUCACAUUUCAAACUUCAGCUGUUUUUGCUGUUGCCAUAUUCAAAACAAGUAUGGUUAGAAUUUCAUUACAAUGGGAAAAGAGUAUGUGUAUAUUUGUUUCCCACUGUUCCAUAGCACAAAAGCUGCUGGGAAUUUGCUCCCAUUUUAGCAAGAUGUAUUGGUGUUUUGUUUUCUUUCUAAUGCAUGAAAAAGUUCAGCUUCAAAAGAGGAGAAACAUGUGAAACCAAAAGGCUAAAACAAAUUAUUUUCUAACUUGAACUGGUAUGGAUGCUAUUACUGUGACAGUUGGCUGAAAUCUUCAGUUAAGUUCCUGAAAGUAUAUAAAAUUAAAGAUAUAAUUAGUGUAUAUAUUUCUGGAGCUUACUUGAUGUAGUAUGUUCCUUCCUUAAGAGGCUUUGUGGCUUCUGUGUUUCAUUGCAGGAAUCUUCUUUUAGUGGCUGGAUAUGGGGUUCUUAGGGCUCUCAUACAUUACUCCAACCACAUUAUGUAGGGUGAAAGGGUUAGUGUACAUGUCUAAUUUGAGAAGAUAAAUGAAGUGAAUGAACCAGUCAUUAUUGUUAAGAUAGGGAAAUGAGGUGAGGGAGACAUAUGCCAAAGAUCAGAUAGAUUAGGGCUGAGAAUUGAGGCCAUGUCUUACAAUUCCCUUAAUGAUAAGAGGAAGGGUUUCUUUUUGGUUAUGGCAAACUAACACAGGUAAUGUGCCAUAUUAAGCCACUGUCUUCUAUGGUCUUUUGGAUUUCCCUUCUCUCCUACCCUGCUUAUUCAGUGCAAAAUAUAUUUUCACCAACAGUGAUUUUGCAGUACUUUUGUACUAUGUGUACAGGAAGCUGAAUGAGUGUCUGGGGACCUUUUAACUGGAUCUAUAAAAAGUCUGUGUCAAUAAAAUCCUGUCAGAUCUAUCUUUCAGUACGGUGAUUACAGAAGAGGAAAAAGAAAGGCAUUGCUCAAUGUGACGGCAAUAUUCCAACAAGUAAUCUUCUCCCAUGUGGUCACGUUUCCUCAGAUAAGAAAAAUUACCACUUUGGUGUCAGUGGGGAUGGGGUCACUGAAUGGGAACGUUCUCUCUGUCUUUUUUUUUUUUUUUUUUUUUUUUUUUUCCACAAUGGACAGUUGUUUUUUGUGUUUUCCUGACUGCAUAAACUAUGUCCAUGGUUACUGGCCAAAGUUUAUUUCUGUAGGAAAUAGGUAACCAUGUUUGUGCAGUGGGGGUAUCAGGACACACAGGAUUUGAAAGGAAGGGUCCAGAGGUCAUCAGCAGAGGGGAUAUGAUGAGGAAAUGCAAUGAGAUAUACCAUGUGGAUUCUGGCAAGUACUUCAUGGGAUGCUUCCUUUCAAGCUCUGGUGAGCAGGAGAGGCGAAUAGAAGCUCUUUGAUAAUGCAGCAGCAGGGUGAAGUCCUUUCAGGGCCAGCUCUUCACCUUAUAUAAAACCGUGCAACUGAUUUAUGCCCACAGAGGAUUUGGCCUGAAGCUCCAAUUUCUUUCUUAGAUAAGUUCUGUUUUCCUUUUUUUGUGCUCAGACUAUCAAAAGAUUGUUAAACGUUUUAUUUCAUCAAGACUUGUUGCUCCUGCCACCCUAUUUGUUCAUUAUAUUCCCCUGAAGUAUCAUUGUAGAGUAAUUUUAUUUUGUAGUUCUCAUAAAAAAUUAUGUCCAGAACUACAAAUGGCUUUGUGAAUGCCAUGAGCAUUUCUGAGUUGUCUUGUCUUGUUAAGUGACCAGUGGAAUGCUGACAGGCUAUAAAAAAAAAUGUAGAAUUAAUUGUGCUAGAUAAUUUAUGCUGUUGCUACACUGUAUCCGUGUUUCCACAUUUGUCUUGCUUCAGGUAUAACUUCUGCUAUGACCUUGUGUUUCAAUACUGCCUAGACUGUCAAUUAGACUGUGACUGCUGCUCACGUAUGUGUGUUCAAAACUGAGUGCUGUGGAGAGUGAGAUGUGUUGCUCAGAGCUGAUUAAAGACCUUGACCAAAAUCAUGUGUGGAAACUCAGGCAGUUGGUUUCUGCUGAGUGCUCUGCAGUCAACAUUCUGCCUCAGUUUAGGACCUAAGAUUUUUGCUGCUUUCCAAAUGACCAUCUACCUGAACUCAGUUUACUCUUGAAUACUGUGCAGAUCUCAGAAGGAGAUAGUGAUGGUACUUUCCCUAGAGAGUUGGAAGUCUAAAAAUAAGUGGAAUGUGAAAGGAACAUUUUUAUUUCACCUUUGAAGGUAACAAUCAAAUGGAUGGAGGUACUAAAUCACCUACAGAGAUCAUGCUAAAAAAUGCAAAAUGGGGAUAUAAGCCAAAAUUUCAGGCCACCAUCUUAACAACAGGAUGCCAACUGGUCUUGUUUCAGUGUUGCUUUGUGCUUCAUAUGUGCAUGAAUAUAUCCACAUUUUGGUUAUACUUAAAUAAUUAUAAAAUAUUCAUGGUAAAAAAGAUGGCUGUGACAAAUCACAUGUGACUGUAUCCCUGGCUUCAUGUUAUCUUACCUUUGAACCAGGUGAUGAGAUGCGGUGCAAGAAGGUUCCUCAUCUGCCUAAGCAUGGAAGCCAUCUGUCUGGUUUAGCAGAGGGCUGGUGAUCUGUGAUGAUUGGCUGAGUUUGUGGUGGAGAAUGUGAAAAAACACUCACCGAGAACAUUUUUAUUGCCAUAUAUGCUGUGAUUUUGUACAACAGGAUAGUAAAAUUUGUAUUUGUUAGAAAACUCAUCAUUACAUUUCUCAUAUCCUCCAAAGCAACUCAAAGGUUUUAGGUCUUUGAAGUCUUUCUAGAGGUAGGUAGAAAAGUGUGAAAUUAUGUAUUACACUUUACUCAUAAUAAAAGAUCAUUUUUGCACGGGUA